GGGUACCAAAAAUGGGAUGCGGGAAUUUUUUUUUAAAAAAAAUUUUGUCGCGCAAAACUUUGCGAGACCAAUAUGUUUCGUCGCGCAAAACUUUGCGCGACCAACAAUAUGUUUCGUCGCGCAAAGUGAUACGAUUUUUAAAACCAAAAUAACUCCUCCACCAUUUUCUCAAUGCCUUUCUCUACUCUUAUCUCUCCUCUCUCUUUCCCUCUCCCCAAAUUCCACCCUUUCUCUCACACUCACUCCUCUCACUUAAUCUCUCAUAUCUCUCUUCACUAUCUCUCACUCUCACUCACUCUCUCAUCUAUCUUUUCACUAUCUCUCACUCUCUCAUCUCUCUAUCACUAUCUUAUCUAAUUCUCUCACACUCACUUCUCC
Molecule: long non-coding RNA, 378 nt
Filed under: Prunus persica (peach)
Lineage: Eukaryota; Viridiplantae; Streptophyta; Magnoliopsida; Rosales; Rosaceae
Description: long non-coding RNA (PPER_LNC000479)
Source: RNAcentral